AAGGGAGGCCUAAUUCAGGUAGGAGACGAAAAAAAGUAGUCCCAACCAAGAAUCAAUCCCAAAAGGUCGGAGCGAGGUAUGAGGCUUUCAAACUAGGUUCUGGGUUCAAACAAGACCUGAAUCAGGAACAAGGGCUAUUAGCUCAGGUGGUUAGAGCGCACCCCUGAUAAGGGUGAGGUCCCUGGUUCGAGUCCAGGAUGGCCCACCUGCACAGGUGGCAAAAACAAGAGAAGCGAGGAAUCAGCACCUUAUCUUAUCUAUAUAUAAGAGAGAAUGCUGGCUCUGAGUAAAGAGUCCAGAGGAACCUUGAAAACUGCAUAGAGCUAGGUGAAAAAGCCAAAAAAGAAGACCGCAA
This 355-nucleotide transfer RNA is filed under the name uncultured Microcystis sp. Its description in RNAcentral is "partial 16S-23S ribosomal RNA intergenic spacer". The stretch from base 132 to 205 matches the Rfam family "tRNA". The record is from RNAcentral. Lineage: Bacteria; Bacillati; Cyanobacteriota; Cyanophyceae; Chroococcales; Microcystaceae.